UACGAAGGGGGCUAGCGUUGCUCGGAAUCACUGGGCGUAAAGGGUGCGUAGGCGGGUCUUUAAGUCAGGGGUGAAAUCCUGGAGCUCAACUCCAGAACUGCCUUUGAUACUGGGGAUCUCGAGUCCGGAAGAGGUGAGUGGAACUCCGAGUGUAGAGGUGAAAUUCGUAGAUAUUCGGAAGAACACCAGUGGCGAAGGCGGCUCACUGGUCCGGUACUGACGCUGAGGUGCGAAAGCGUGGGGAGCAAACAGGG
Molecule: ribosomal RNA, 254 nt
Filed under: uncultured bacterium
Lineage: Bacteria
Description: partial 16S ribosomal RNA
Rfam family: Bacterial small subunit ribosomal RNA
Source: RNAcentral